GAGAGAAAGACAGGGUCAGCCAUACUCACAUCAUUCCUUACCUGAUAACCAGGUAUCAGCCAUACUGACAUCAUUCCUUACCUGAUAACCAGGUAUCAACCAUACUGACAUCAUUCCUUACCUGAUAACCAGGUAUCAGCCAUACUCACAUCAUUCCUUACCUGAUAACCAGGUAUCAGCCAUACUGACAUCAUUCCUUACCUGAUAACCAGGUAUCAGCCAUACUGACAUCAUUCCUUACCUGAUAACCAGGUAUCAGCCAUACUGACACCAUUCCUUACCUGAUAACCAGGUGUCAGCCAUACUCACAUCAUUCCUUACCUGAUAACCAGGUAUCAGCCAUACUGACAUCAUUCCUUACCUGAUAACCAGGUAUCAGCCAUACUGACAUCAUUCCUUACCUGAUAACCAGGUAUAAUGCCUCCUUCUAUUCAACAGACUCCUACAUGGAGACAGAAGUCACUUCACAGCUUUUUGAUCCCACUGCAGUUGAAAGGUCGAGAGAGCGUUUGAACUGCUGCACCAACCUUCAGGAGGCUCUCUCUCUCUCUCUCUCCCUCCCUCCCUCCCUCCCUCCAGCCCAACAUUAAAGCACUGAGUCACUCGUUGAUAAAGGAUCCAUCCAUAAUUUGAAAGGAACACAAAUGGCAGCCGCCCAACUUGGUUUGCUAUGAAGCUGACGAUCAAAAACAGCUGUACAUGUCACAGAUUGGCCCUUUUAUUAAGCUGCAGCACAAGAGAGAGAGAAACUAGACAGGGAAAAGGAGGAGAGGAAGUAAUCCACUGACUGAUAAAGGGAGAGGAGAACUACACCUAAGAGAUACAACCGCUGUAUGUUGACAGGACCAAAUGGUUAAGGUCAGUGAGGGUGGAGGUUAUAGGUUCAUAGAGGUAGAAAGAGGGUUCUAGAUAGAUAUAACCCGUUUUUAGCACGGAGAAUGCCAUUGAGGGCUUCCACCAUUUAAAGUAGUCAACUGGGUGGGGAUUCCUAUAGGUUCCGAGCGAGCGAUCAGCCAUUGGUCAGUUUGGGCUGUGAUGGUCAUGGAAUUUUGGAUGACAGCUAUUGGUCAGCCAAAUGACUGCGGUCACCGUUAUAAUUUGAAUAGCAAAAAUCUAGUUUUUUUUUUCCAUGUCCAUUUGGGGAGGGGGGGGGGCACUAAGCUAACACAUGGAAUUGUUUUAAGAUGGUCAUGUCAUUGAUCAUUUAGGUAAUUUAUUUGGAAUUUUAGGACCCCUUUACAUGUUAAAAUAUUGAAUUUAUAUUGAAUAUAGGCCAUAUAAAUGCAUUGAAUAACACAUUCAUAAAUGGCACAAGAGAGAGUCACUUUUUAAAAUUAGAAGUAGAAAGGUUUUGAAGUAUUUGUCCUCUGAUGCAGAGGGGUUGGGUAAAAAAAAAAGAUGACUAUAUAUUGUUUUCACCUUUAUUUAACUAGGCAAGUCAGUUUAAGAACAAAUUCUUAUUUACAAUGACGGCCUACCCCGGCCAAACCCUAACCCAGAUGACGCUGGGUCAAUUGUGCGCCACCCCUUGGGACUCCCAAUCACAGACGGUUGUAAUACAACCUGGAGUCAAACCAGGCCACUGAGAUGCAGUGCCUUAGACCGCUGCGCCACUCGGGAGCCCCCAAAAAGAUGUGGUUGACAGAUAUGCUUCUAGAUCAACUUUGCAGUAUUUUUUUGUGUGUGUGUGUUAUUUCUUCCAUUAUUAGCCCCAAAUAUUUUUUGUGCUUCAAGUUCCUCGGCGUACACAUCACUGACGAUCUGAAGUGGUCCAUCCUCAUAGACAGUGUGGUGAAGAAGGCGUAACAGAGCCUCUUCAACCUCAGGAGGCUGAAGAAAUUUGUCUUGUCCACUAAAACCCUCACAAACUUUUACAAAUGUACAAUUGAGAAUAUCCUGUCGGGCUGUAUCACACCUGGUACGGCAACUGCACUGCCCUCAACAACAGGGCUCUCCAGAGGGUGGUGUGGUCUGCCCAAUGCAUCACCGGGGUCAAACUACCUGCCCUCCAGGACACCUACCGCACCCGAUGUCACAGGAAGGCCAAAAAUAUCAUCAAGGACAACAACCACCCGAGCUACGGCUUCUUUACCCCGUUAUCCUCCAGAAGGCGAGGUCAGAGGUCAGUACAGGUGCAUCAAAGCUGGGACUGAGAGACUGAAAAACAACUUCUAUCUCAAGGCCAUCAGACUGUUAAAUAGCCACCACUAACAUCAUUUGCCGGCUUCCACCCAGUUACGCAGCCCUGUACCUUAGAGGCUGCUGCCCCUAUAUACAUAGACUUGGAGUCACUGGCCACUUUUAUAAUGGAACACUGGUCACUUUAAUAAUGUUUAAAUAAUGUUUAAAUACUGCUUUUGUAACGAUGUAGGCUGAGAGUCGGGAAGAAAGUACAGGCAGUGAGUGUUUUAAUAAAAUAAACAAAACAAUAAACACGAAACACAAACAGCGCACCGAUAUAUCCUUCCUGUUUGGGGUUAUAUCCUUCCUGUUUGGGGUUAUAUCCUUCCUGUUUGGGGUUAUAUCCUUCCUGUUUGGGGUUAUAUCCUUCCUGUUUGGGGUUAUAUCCUUCCUGUUUGGGGUUAUAUCCUUCCUGUUUGG
Oncorhynchus tshawytscha (Chinook salmon) is the source of this 2601-nucleotide long non-coding RNA. NCBI's taxonomy places the organism in Eukaryota, Metazoa, Chordata, Actinopteri, Salmoniformes, Salmonidae. The record is from Ensembl.